Molecule: ribosomal RNA, 250 nt
Filed under: uncultured prokaryote
Description: partial 16S ribosomal RNA
Rfam family: Bacterial small subunit ribosomal RNA
Source: RNAcentral
CACGUAAGUUGCGAGCGUUGUUCGGAAUUAUUGGGCGUAAAGGGCAUGUAGGCGGAAGUGCAAGUCUGGUGUGAAAUUCAGGGGCCCAACCCCUGAACUGCGUUGGAAACUGCACUACUUGAGUCACUGAGGGGCAGGCAGAAUUCCUGGUGUAGGGGUGAAAUCUGUAGAUAUCAGGAAGAAUACCGAUGGCGAAGGCAGCCUGCCAGCAGAUGACUGACGCUGAGGUGCGAAGGUGCGGGGAGCGAAC